Molecule: ribosomal RNA, 907 nt
Filed under: uncultured Halorubrum sp.
Lineage: Archaea; Methanobacteriati; Methanobacteriota; Halobacteria; Halobacteriales; Haloferacaceae
Description: bacterial SSU rRNA
Rfam family: Archaeal small subunit ribosomal RNA
Source: RNAcentral
GGUUGAUCCUGCCGGAGGCCAUUGCUAUUGGGAUUCGAUUUAGCCAUGCUAGUCGUACGAGUUCACACUCGUGGCGAAUAGCUCAGUAACACGUGGCCAAACUACCCUUCGGAGCACAAUACCCUCGGGAAACUGAGGCUAAUAGUGCAUACCACAAUCCACCUGGAAUGAGGAUUGUGCCAAACGCUCCGGCGCCGAAGGAUGUGGCUGCGGCCGAUUAGGUAGACGGUGGGGUAACGGCCCACCGUGCCAAUAAUCGGUACGGGUCAUGAGAGUGCAGAACCCGGAGACGGAAUCUGAGACAAGAUUCCGGGCCCUACGGGGCGCAGCAGGCGCGAAACCUUUACACUGCACGCCAGUGCGAUAAGGGAAUCCCAAGUGCGCAGGCAUAGAGCCUGCGCUUUUGUACACCGUAGGGAGGUGUACGAAUAAGGGCUGGGCAAGACCGGUGCCAGCCGCCGCGGUAAUACCGGCAGCCCGAGUGAUGGCCGAUCUUAUUGGGCCUAAAGCGUCCGUAGCUGGCCGCGCAAGUCCAUCGGAAAAUCCACCCGCUCAACGGGUGGGCGUCCGGUGGAAACUGCGUGGCUUGGGACCGGAAGGCGCGACGGGUACGUCCGGGGUAGGAGUGAAAUCCCGUAAUCCUGGACGGACCGCCGAUGGCGAAAGCACGUCGCGAGGACGGAUCCGACAGUGAGGGACGAAAGCCAGGGUCUCGAACCGGAUUAGAUACCCGGGUAGUCCUGGCCGUAAACAAUGUCUGUUAGGUGUGGCUCCCGCUACGAGCGGGUGCUGUGCCGUAGGGAAGCCGCUAAACAGACCGCCUGGGAAGUACGUCCGCAAGGAUGAAACUUAAAGGAAUUGGCGGGGGAGCACUACAACCGGAGGAGCCUGCGGUUUAAUUGGAUUC